Zeugodacus cucurbitae (melon fly) is the source of this 2215-nucleotide long non-coding RNA. RefSeq lists it as uncharacterized. The transcript has 4 exons. Lineage: Eukaryota; Metazoa; Arthropoda; Insecta; Diptera; Tephritidae. The record is from RefSeq and is a predicted model, not a curated record.
AUCGUAGCGGAACAAGCGGAGAGACUUUUAACAGAAUUGUAAAAAUUAUUAUUUUAUAUUUGCAUAUACAUAUCUUUAACUAAUAAUGUACAAUAUUUCAUUAUUUUUAGGAUAUUAAGAGGUUUUCUGAUUUCUUGUAGCUUUUACUAUUAUUAGUGGUCUUUGAAGCGUUAGUUCUUGAACACUGAACCUCGAGAACAACUGUUAGGGAUCGCUUUGAUUGGCAAAAUUAAAAGACAUCUCUCAUAUUUAAAUCAACUAUACGGGCUGUCUAUUACCUGAUCGAGAGACCCUUGGGUUUAAUUCCAAUUACUGUCAAUGUCUCAAGACAUUUCAUUUAAAUAUUCUCAAAUUAUUGGUAUCAAAAUGACACUACCUUCGGUGUUUUUGUUUACAAAGGAAUAAAGUGAAUUGUUGGUUUAGUCAAGCAAUACUCCACAAUAUUCAUCGGCUCCAGACAAUGGUCCGGUUUAUUCAGUUUGAGAUUUGGGUAAACUAUGAAGUAUUCUCCAGAUCUUUUGGUUUAGCAACAGGCUGUUUUGCACUUGGCAAAAGGAAUCCUAAAGCGCCCGCAAUAAUUAGUGCAGCCGCUGGACUAUAAAGCGCCAUCUCGCAAUGUGUUUCAAUGAGUAAACCUAAAGUGUUGGAUCCCACGACGCUUCCAAUACGUCCGAUCAUAAGAGAUAUGCAAACGGCCAUACCCCUGAAAGAAAUUAAAGAAUUUAAUACAAAUAUGUUCAAUUGCGUGUCUUCUAUUAGAUGAAGCGUUUACAAAAAUUCUAAUAUUCCUUCUUUUGAGUAUUCGGGAAUUAUUUCGAUAACAUUCGAAGCUUCUGACCUUUAAUUGUAUAUAAUCUCGGAUAUAAUGAAUACCAAUACAUUUAAGAUCUACACCACUUAAAAUCGCUGAAAUUAUCUCUAAACUUGAAUGGAAAAUGAGUUUUGAGACGCCUUUGGCUAUUUACCUUAAAUUUGUUGGGAAUAUUUCAACAACAAUGGCAUUGAGCACGGAUAUGCCGCAACCGCAGCAAAGUUGAAUGACCAAGAAAUAAACGGCCAGCAGGGGAAUUUGUAUGGUAAAGGCCAAUAUGCCACAAGCUCCACAAAUAAACAUGCUUAUGACUACAAAAAAGUAAUUAAUUAUUAAAUCAUAUUUACACUGAAGUCCUUAUUGGUACUUACAAAGCAUGGGUUUACGUCCGAUUUUAUUAAUGAAAAACAUAAUGAGCAGCAGUAUGGUCACAUAUAUUAAUUCUAGGAAUAUGGUAUGCAUAUAAGUUGAUAUUUCUAAGUGCAUUGUGCACGUUUCAGUUGGACCCUGUAAAAAUUUAUAAGAAAAUAUUAAUUCAUGCUUGUUCCAAGACCUCAUAAUAGAACUUACAUCUUCAUCCACGCUUGUAAGAUUUCCCGAUUGUACGAAUUUGAUAAUAUCACAAAUGCGUUUCGGUUCGAUAAACUUCUCGGUAUAUUUCAUUGUGUUAUUAAGAAUAUACGGGAACCACAUGUAUACCCCAUGGGCACUAAAAAAUAUUAUAAACAAUAUCAGACUAGACAGAAAGGUCUUCCGUAGGUGUUCGCGCAUGAAAAGUGGCGCUGUUUGUUGCCACAUUGACUUCAUAAUAGAUAUUAGAAGAUUCUUCUUUUCUAAACCUUUCACUUUGCCCAUUGGUGUGUCGGCGUCCGGCAGUAAGACUUACCGUGUACACGUUGUCAGGAUCCUUGUUCCCGAUAUUUAUUCUAUGCAUACGCUUUAAAACUUCUAUAGCUUCUUCAGGAUUUCCGGCAGAUAGUAGAUACUUUGGACUCUCCGGCAAGAAAAACAUUAUCAAACCACAAAUAAAUCCGGGCACACCACAGGCCAAGAAGUACGAACGCCAUGGCUUGAAAACUAUAUUAAUGUAUGGCACAUAGAUUUCAAAUUCUUGAUUGAUGAAUAUCCAAGCGAUGACGGGGAAAAAUAUUGAGGCGACCGCACUUAUCAAACCACCGCCUAGUAUGGCACGACUGCGAUCUUUUUGACAAUGGAACUCUCCGACGUAAGCGAAAAUCGUCGCGGAACAAGCGGAGAGGCUGUAUGCCAUUUAAGAAUCUCAAGAAAGCGAAUGUCAGAAAAUUUGGUGAUAAACUUGAGCAGAAAGUAACGACAAAUCCCAGAAGCAAUGCCGGUUGCAUUAUCCGCUUGCGACCUUGAGUGUCGGCUAGAAAUCCCCAAAAG